AGUCUGCUCAUUUCUGACUGAACAGCCAGCCCAGCAGAACCACACCAGCCAUAGUCAUGUCCAUCAGGAAACAAUGGUUGGAGCCUUCCUGGUCCUUCCAGCUACUCACUGCCACAUUAUUCCCACGGAGUUCCACAAAAGUGUCCCAGCUGCCGCUGUCCUGGAUCCUGUUCUCUAGGUGAUCAUUCAGGUAAGUGGCCACCCAACUUGCGAUCUGACUCACCAAUACCUGCUUCUCCUUGUCUAUGCCUUCCACACACAGGGUUCCUCCAAAGGAGCAAAAGGCCACAAUGCAGCCCCAGUUGACCACAUCCUGGAAGAGUUCCUUCACUACCUGUUCAAAGGUCUGAUGUGCUGUCUCUGGGGUGACGUGGAGCUUGGACGUCAUGUCACUGAAUGCCUGCAGGUACCUGCUGCAGUUCAGACUUGUCGCCUGCCUCCCUCAGUGCUUGCUUCAGUCACCUCCGGGGCAUCCAAACUUCUGUGAUGGCCAGUGGCUCUACUCACCAUGGGGCUGCCCAGCAGACGCCAGGAUGGGUUGUCAUUGAUGGCACUGGUGGGUUCCACCUCUGAUUCAGUCCCUUCUGGGGCUUCAAUGCUGUUCCCUUCCACAUGGCUUAACUGACACCAGCUGUAUCCUUUCUGGGAAAGUUUAUGGGACAGAAAGUCAACCACUAGUUCUAGGUGGCCCUGAGACACUUUUAAAAUAGAGAUGGGCUCAACCACUCCUUGGUCAAAAACACGUGUUUUUGACCAAGACUGAGUCUGGUCUCUGCUUGAUGAUUAUCUUAUGAGAUGAAAAGUCAAGAUAAGGUUGUGUAGCUGUCCUGUUAGGGGCACCUGCCGACCCUCUGGAGGAGCGUGUAGAUCUAUGGCGGAGUCCAUCUCAGGAUGUCCCAGGAAGGCCAAGGCAGGUCCUCCAUCUCCACUCAGGGCCCGUCCCCACAGGCCCAGCCUGCGUCCUUCUCCCAGAACCCGCUGACUGAUCAGGGUCUCCACCUGUGCUGACACCCUCCAGUCGCCAUAACCAACGAAUUUUAUAUCAUGUGCUAUUUGGGAAAUUGCAGAAUUUGAAUAGUGAAAUCCCAUGUUGGAAGAAGCCAUUUAGCAUCUUAAGGGCAAAUCUAAACAUUUUCCCCGAUCUAAUCAUUUUUAUUUUCUUAGUUAUCUGCCUCAUGCCCAUAAUAUAAAUGUAUAUUACUAAAUGUAUGGGAGUGAGAAAUAAGUUUCUUAAUGUUAACAAUGAGUUUCUAAAAUGCUCAGCAAUGAAUAGUAUUAGAAGUAUUAGGCAAAAAAUGUUCCUGGCUGCACCAACAGAUGAGUGCAGUCCAUGUUCUAUGGAAAUGUGCUCCCUGGCUCAGCAUUGGUGAGACUGAGAAUCAUAAGGCAGAAAUGAACAAGCCAAUCAGUUCCUUUUGUCUCCAUCUACUUUUAUUGUAGAAUAAAUGAUACUGCAUUCUUACUGCCACUUUUGAUAGAGUUGUCAUCAAAACUGUUGACAAUUUCCCGUCCCCAAUGGGGUCUCCCAUGCAGGUGGCCGCUUUCAGCUUUAGAACCCAGGAUUUCAGCAUCCGAGUCAUGAACAGAGCAGUCCUUUCUGGAAAGAAGCAUUUAUGCAAGCAUUUGGGGGAGCAGAAAGGAAAAAAAAAAUCUCAUAUGCUUCUUCCUAGUCAAUUUCAACCACCUCUGCCAAGAUCCUGGCUCUGGUCUCCACGACGACAGCCCCCAUGAUUGACAGGAUGAGAAUGUGGCCCUGAGGUUGGAAGGCAGCAGCAUCUGGAAUGCUAUGAGCCAGCUUGAUCCAGGGUCGCUAAACUCCCUACACAAGAAUAAUGUGGAAUGAAAGGCUCAUGUGGCUACUUUUGGAGACGGUUUUCUGGGUGUUUAUUUUUUAUUUUUUAACUUUUGUCAGGAUAAAUUUGGAGUACAAAGUUUCUUAAGGAAGUUUUUAAGAAGAAAAAAAGUGAAAAUUAAUAUUAUAGCAUGUUCUUACUUAGAAUGCAGAUUUCAGAAAUCUGCUUUUAUAUGAGACAUUAACUCUUUUAAUUUUAGAAAAUAAAUUUUAAUUUUGAUGGCAACAAAGUAACAGUCAAAUCUAAUUUUUUAGGAAUUUAUAUCCAUAUCUAAUAACAUCAAUUUUCUUCAUUAGGUAUAAGUUUUAUUUCUUAAAAUGUAUCAAUUUAAAAAUUUUUAAUGCAAGCAUUUCAAGGUGUCAACUUUUCUACAGUUUGUUUCUUGGUAUAGAAAGCUAUCAUUUCAGGGUUAUUCUGUUAAAUGUAAACCUUUAACCCAACCUCAGGCUUUAAAUGUGAAUUCCAGAAAAACCACCACAAGCAAAGAUUUUAAAAAUGAAUUCUAAAAUAUACCCAAUGGAAUAUUUCCAGCCAUAAAGAGAUAUGAAAUUAUGGCACUUGCUGGUAAAUGGAUGGAACUGGAGACUAUCAUGCUAAGUGAAAUAAACCAAUCCCCAAAAAACAAAGGCCGAAUUCUCUCUCUCUGAUGUGCAGAUACUAACUCACAAUGCCAGUGGUUAGGGGAGAAAAGAAGCACUUUGGAUUAGACAAAUGGGAAGGAAGGGAAGGAGGGGGAAUGGGACUAGGAAAGACAGUAGAAUCACCCAGACAUUACUUUCCUAUGCUCAUAUAUGAAUACACAACCAAUGUAAUCCCACAUCAUGUAUAACCAACAGAAUAGGAAGUUGUACUCCAUGUAUGUAUGUCAAAAUACAUUCUAUUGUCAUAUAUAACUGAAAAGAACAAAUAAAAUAGUAAAUAAACUCUAAGAGCAUUUAAUUCUAUGUUGAAUGAUAAUACUAACUCAUUACUAUCUCUAUAAUAAUUUUCUCUUGUAUUAGGGAACUCAUAAAAAUCACUGAGCCAGGUGUAGCCACAAGAUCACUGGCCAUGAUGCUCAGCCCCUUGGGAGCUGCCUCUCUGCCUUUGGUCCCUGGAAACACCUGAACCUGCCCAAAUUCUCUACUCAGCCCUCAUAGUAUCUUUCAUAAUACCCCCUUUCCUUUAUUUUUCACAAAAGCAUUUCUAGGAAAUAUUUUAUUACUUUUCAUAAAUCAAUAGAAAACAACAUAAAUACAUAAAUAAAUAAAUAAACAACAUAAAUACAUCAAAUAGAAUGCAUGAGUGAAAAACAUAAAAUUAUACACAUAAAACAAAAAUGCAUAGAUAAUCCUUCAGAAGAAAUGUUGAUACAUUGAACUUUGUAAAUCACACUUCAGGAAUGAACAUGAAGUCUGGUAGCAAAACCAAGGAAUGUUUAUUGAAACACAUAUUACAUGCAAUCAGAGUGGCAAUCAAACACUAAACCUCAUCAGCCAAUUGUUACUCUCUUACAAAAAGUUAAUUUAAAUAUGCAAUAAGAAUGGUCUGAAUAUACAAGAUAAAUUUUGUACAACCAUUUCAUAAUGACUGCUUAUCUUAUUCUAAGCUGUUAAUUAAAUAUAAUGGAAAUAAGUGGAUCCUAAACUAGGAGUAUUUUCCUCUGUAUGUUUAUAAUCUUCCCACUGCAGGGAAGACUGAAUCAUAACAAUAACACAUUUCUAUCUCUGCAGAUCUGAAACACAACACGCAAGUCCACUGGGCUUCUUUAAAAUAAUUAAAUUGAGUGUUUACUUGGUUAUUAUAAUCUUUGCAACCACUGAAAUGUUUAGAUGUUAAUCUGAUAUUAGAGUCAUCACCAGACCAAAAAUGGUCAUUUGAUAAUGUAAAUGUGAAAUCUGGUUUCAAUGAGAAUAUUUUUACUGUCAUGGUAUAAAUAUUUGAGUGACAUUUUAAGCCUAACUCUCAGGCCACAAAAUGUUUCUUCACAUUAAAAAAAAAAAAAAUGAGAAUGGACAAUUAUGAGUAUGCUCCCCAACCCUCACCCUCUGGGUUUUCCUCUUGUGUCAACUCUUUCCUAUCUGUAUCUGAUAACUAAGUACCAUGCUUGAUUUUUAAGGGAUAAAGAAACUCAAGCUGUACUUAAACCCAGAUCUUUGGAAUAUUACAUGAAGGGAGCAAAUCUUCAACUCCAUGACUACAUCACCAACAUUUACAAGGAUACACUUAGAGGGGGCAGAGUUCAUGUUCAGCUGUACUUCCUAAAUGAAUUAACUCAUCUUUCACAGAAAAAUCAGUCUGACUCUUUAGAAGGUUGUAGAGCACUUUAUUUUUAAUUGUAUUCACUGAUUUAAUCAUUUGAACUAUUAUUCCUGCAACAGAAAAGGUAAUUUACUCAAUGACGCUGAAGUGUUGUGAUGGGAUACAGCUUCCUUCACACUGCAUAGGAAGGAAAUCUCUACUAUCUGCACAGCCUACCCGUGGUCUUCUCCCACAUGAUGUCCUGGGUCGGUGGGCAUUGCCCAUCAGCAGGACUCUUCCCAUCACAGAGGCAUUGUGUGGUGGCCUGCUGACUUCCCCCAGUGACUCAGACGUUGGCUCAUUUACUUGUUUAUAUAUUUGAAAUUUUCAUGAUCAGCUUACUUGACCAGUAACCUUUCCAUAGCCUAUUCUAGAACUAAAAAGAGAUGAAAUAAAUGGAAAAAAAAUGCAUAGCCCCUAACAAUUCCCUUCUGACUUAAUUUCCUUUAUGAGCAUUUAAUGGCACCCAAUAAGGGAGAAAUCUAUCCAGAAAAAAAUAAAAAUAAAUUUAUAAUAAAACAAACAGAAGAUAACAUGCAAAAUCCAAUUUCUUCAAAUUCAUUAAAAUGCAAAUAAUUAUUUUUUGAGAUAAAGGAAUGGAAAAUAACUAAAGACAAAGACGAAAGUUCUCCCUGAGGAAGGAGUAGAGACAGCAGCUGACUCACCAUCUCUCUGAUCUAGACUUGCAAACCCAAGGCCAUGGCUGCUGGGAGCUCCGAGGAGCCACCGAAGGACCCCAGGCAAGGCAGAGGCCAGCAAAGCAUCACAUUGUCUACAGAGAAAAGCCACUCGUGCAGCUGAGCACUCUGGGAGAAGCUCUCCUCUCUCUUCUUCCUGACAUCUCUCCUUUCUUUUUUGGUUGCCAGGCUAGAACUUGCACCAUCUUGGUCAUUAGCACAUUAGCCCUUGUCUAACAACAGGCUGAUACAGAAAAUAAAGGCCCUGGUUCCCAGCCUUUGCUAUUGCCCUAGUGUAACUGUUCCAAACAUGGCCAAGUCAAAGUCCUCCCUGUGAUGUCCUGAACGGGGGCUGGGAAGGCAUGCAGUCACCCACCACAGAGCACUUCCACCACGUACACAGAAGACAUGUAAACAGCCUGAAGAGCAGGAGUAACUGCAAGAUAGCACAAAAGAGGUGAGUUAGUAAGAGGUGAGUUUUGAUAAUUGAUCACCUGUGUAUUUUUUGAGGAGGGUAGUUACUGGGGAUUGAACUCAGGGGCACUCAACCACUGAGCACAUUCCCAGCCCUAUUUUGUAUUUUAUUUAGAGACAGGAUCUCACUGAGUUGCUUAGUCCUCUCUUUUGCUGAGGCUGGAUCAAACCCAGUGCCUCAUGCUUGCUAGGGCUAGGCAAGCUCUCUACCACUGAGCCCCAGCCCCAGCCCCCAUGGGGUCUUAACAAUAAUUUGACUGACUAUAAAUAGUCUGGCUGAUUAUAAAUAGUUUGACUAUAAAUUACAAAGUUAUCUCCCCUUAUUACUUACUGUUUCUGCAUUUCUUUUUGCUUCUGGUAUCACUGCCCUGCUGAUGUCAAAGUAGCUUUUAUUCCUUCCACAGCAAAUCGGUUCAUAUCACUAUCUUUGGUGGUUUAAAAUGUGACCUUGACGUUUCUAGGUGUGUUUUUUGUUUGUUGGGUGGUUUUUUUUUUUUUUUCCUUUUCAUUUAUCUAUCUCAGUAUAACAAAAGCUUCUAUAAUUAGAACACAUUAUGUUUUACUAGUAUUAGAAAGUUUUUCUGUUCUUUGCAAAUUUAUGGAACUGACUUUAUGGACAAAGAAGGAUGUAAAUAUUCCAUAAAUAAUUGAGGCUGCAUAAUAUUUUUCAAUUGUUAUAUAUAAGCCACAAAAAUCAAACUGGGAAAUAGUUUAUUAAAAUCUCCUCUAUAUUUAUCCUUUCAUUUUAAUUGUUUCCUAUGUAUCCAUUUUAACCAAUUAUUUUCCUUCUGCUCUCUUCCUUCUUCUUUGAGUUGACUUUAAUCUCCCACUCUAUUUUUUCUUUUAUUAGUUGGAAUCUCUCCAUCUUUUACCACUCCUUUGGCCAUCCUCCUUGAUAUAUUAUGCUGAUUCUGCCUAACAACUAACCAAAGCAUAAAAUUAAACAAAUUUCAACUCUCUUCACCAAAUAAUGUAGAAACCAAGAAUGCUUUAAUUCUGACUUCCUUUCCACCUUUAUUCCCAGUUAUUCACUUAGUCUUGCCUUCUUUGCUUUAAUACCACCAACUACACAGACAUGUUGUUUAUACACCUUUGCUAUUAUUUCAACUCUGCAAUUAGUUUCAGGAGCAUCAUUUGUGUAACAACUUCGGGAUUCUAACUACUCACACCUGCCCCUAUAAUGGCUUCCUUUCUGCCCCUCCCCCUCCGUCCAUUAGAAGGGUUGGUGGUCUGGCAUCCUCUUAAGUCUUAAAGAUUUUACUUUUCUGUGAAUGACUACCUUCCCACUACUCUUGGAAGCUAAAUCUAUCACCCUUGGUGUUUAUUCCCUCUCAGAACUCUGAGAGCUCAUGGGGCUGAGUGUUUCACUGUUUGCUAACUCUACCUUGGGCUGCUUUCUACAGCUUCUCUGUACUUCUGGUGUUGGACCUUUCCCCUAUGGUGGUGUUGGUGGUCUGAACUGGUUUCUUUUUAUUCCUAGGCAUUUCAAACUCUUCUGGACUCUCAAGAUUGGUGACCUGCUUGAAUGAUGAGAAUCCUUAUAAAUCGUCCAUUAUGUCUUUCCUCCUCCAGAACCCAGAUCAGAUGUGUGGAUCUCGUUGCUCUCCACCCUGCCCCUUUAACCCGUGUCUUAUAUUUUCCUUCUCUUUCUCUCUCUGGGGUGUAUGCUGGCUAUUUAUUUCAGAUUUGUCUUGAAGCGGCUGAGUCUUUCUCCACCUGUGUCUACUCUUCUGUUUGAGAAUUCACUGAAUUCUUGAUUUCAAUAAUUCACUUUUCAUGUCUAGAUAACAUUCUUUUCAAUUCUGCUUGAUCAUUUUCAUAUAAAGAAUGUUUCUUUAUAUGAAGGAAACUUUAUGUAAAAGAAAUUCUUUAUUUCAUUAUUCCUAUCUUCUGUUUCUUUAGACGUAUAACACAUUUUGGCAUUCUAAACCCAUUUUCAAUAUCUCCAUCCAUUUUGAUCUCAUCCUGUAUUCUGUUAUUUCCUCCUGUGAAGUAGUUUGUUUCCUUACGCAUUUAAAAUUUUUGUUUCUAUUGUGAGCUGUGGUGGCCAGACACCAUAUAUUUUUUCCAAGACUUUAGAAAUACCAGUCAGAUAACAAGCAGCCCACGUGUCCAGGGUCUAUUAUCAUCACACAGACACCUGGACAAUGGCUGGAGAAUCCUUUUCAGCUCACAUAAAGUAUGUGAAGUUGGAAGAAGAUUUAUGCUGUUAAUAGCAAGUUGAUCCAAACAGUUAAAAUCUGAGGGAUUACAUAUAUUAAUUUAAACUUCUUGGCACUUCUUUAUUUUUAGAGAUGAGGAAACAGACACAGAGAAGGGAAGCAUGUUACCUGAGAU
This 7621-nucleotide long non-coding RNA is filed under the name Marmota monax (woodchuck). The record is from RNAcentral. Lineage: Eukaryota; Metazoa; Chordata; Mammalia; Rodentia; Sciuridae.